Molecule: ribosomal RNA, 2046 nt
Filed under: Triticum aestivum (bread wheat)
Lineage: Eukaryota; Viridiplantae; Streptophyta; Magnoliopsida; Poales; Poaceae
Description: partial small subunit ribosomal RNA
Source: RNAcentral
CGCCGCCGCCCGUCCCUCCUCCGCGCUGCCUCCACUGCGGCGCCCCCGUCCCCCGACCUCUCCAUCCAGCUCUCUCCCCGCCCUUCCCCGCGCGCCUCGCCUCCCGUAGUACCAUCCCUCGCCCGCGACCGCGCAGAGGACCUGCAGGCCGAGUCCCGCGCCAUGACCCGAGCCGCUGCCGCCACCGUCUACACCCCCGAGCUACUCGCCUCCCGCUACGGCUCCCAACCUUUCCAGGUGGCGAUGAGAGCGGCGGAGGUGCUCUCGAAGCUGGGGGCAUUCGGGCUAAAGCUGCUGCUCGACCAGCAGAGGGGGGAGUCGUCCUCGUCAGCGAAGAGGCGUGCCAGGGCGGUCGAGCUGCGAACUGUACUGACAAGGCUUGGCCCGACGUUCGUCAAGAUUGGGCAGGGUUUGUCCACGCGGCCUGACCUCUGCCCGACUGAGUAUCUCGAGGAGCUCUCCGAGCUGCAGGAUUCUCUCCCCACAUUUCCAGAUGAAGAGGCAUUUGCCUGUGUCGAGAGGGAGCUUGGCUUUCCUCUUGAUUCAAUGUACUCAGCAAUGUCACCUUCACCGAUAGCUGCAGCAAGUUUAGGUCAAGUUUACAAGGCACGGUUGAAAUACUCUGAGCAGUUGGUAGCUGUCAAGGUGCAAAGACCUGGCAUCGAGGAUGCCAUAGGCCGUGAUUUUUACCUACUGAGGGGACUUGGUUUUCUAAUAAAUAAGUAUGUCGACAUUAUAACUACUGAUGCAGUUGCUCUGAUAGAUGAAUUUGCCCGAAGAGUUUUCCAAGAGCUUAAUUAUGUCCAGGAAGGCCAAAAUGCACGAAGGUUUAAAAAAUUAUAUGCUGACAAGCAAGACAUAUUGGUCCCUGAUAUAUUUUGGGAUUACACAAGUGCAAAGGUACUGACAAUGGAAUGGAUUGAGGGUGUAAAGCUUAAUCAACAAGCUGCCAUUGAAGGCCAAGGCUUGAAGGUCCUGGACUUGGUAAACAUUGGUAUACAGUGUAGCCUAAGGCAGCUACUAGAGUAUGGUUACUUUCAUGCUGACCCGCAUCCUGGUAAUAUUUUGGCAACACCUGAAGGGAAGCUUGCUUUUCUUGAUUUUGGCAUGAUGAGUGAAACCCCAGAGGAUGCAAGGGUAGCCAUCAUAGGGCAUGUCGUUCACAUGGUCAAUCGGGAUUAUGAAGCGAUGGCUCGUGAUUAUUAUGCACUUGAUUUUCUGAAACCUGAAGUGGAUGUAUCCCCAAUCGUACCUGCCCUCAAGAAUUUUUUUGAUGAUGCUUUGGAUUCAACAGUGAGUGAGCUAAACUUUAAAACCAUAGUUGAUGGCUUAGGCGCUGUUCUUUAUCAGUACCCAUUCAAUGUACCGGCCUACUAUGCGUUGAUACUGCGAUCACUCACUGUGCUGGAAGGUCUGGCGCUCUAUGCUGAUCCUAAUUUUAAGGUGCUUGCUGCCUCAUAUCCUUACUUUGCUAAAAGAUUACUCACAGAUCCCAAUCCAUAUCUCAGAGAUGCUCUGAUUGAGCUGCUAUUCAAGGAUGAAAAAUUCAGGUGGAAUAGGCUUGAAAAUCUUCUUGUUCAAGGACGCCAGGAUAGAGAGUUUGUAGCAAAGGAUGCUCUACAACCGGUUUUGAAACUUCUACUUGGUCCAGAUGGGGAGAAUUUAAGAGUGCUAGUUGUGAAAGAAGCGGUUCGUGUCACAGAAGCCAUCACCUUCGGAACACUGAUUGAUUCAUACAACGCAGCUCCAGAAUUUUUGAAGCCAUUAAUAUCCAAUGGCAAUCCAGCUGGACCAUUUAAGAUAAGUGAUGUUGAGCGGGAACAAAUGUUGGAGCUACGAGACACUGUUCUCAGAAUAUGGGGUCUUUUGAGAUCCUCUGAUACCUUUGAUCCAAGUCUUUUGCAGCCAAUUGUACAGGUGCUACAAGAGCGUGAAGCCCGUGUGUUUGGUUCUCGUAUUGCUGGAGGUGUCUCGCAGCGCCUUGCAGCCCGCUUGCUGCAGCAGCUACUCAGGAUCCCACCUGCACCUGUUCCUGGAUCUUCUUAG